UUCGUCAUGCCAUCAAAGUAUGGUGUUAACUUGCCACUGCCUAAAGAUUCCUGUGAGACAAUUAAAGAGGUGCCCAGAAAAAUAGUUGUUGUAGUUGCCUUUUCAGUGUUCAAGACAACCCAAUGACAAUGAUUGUGGAUAUUAUAUGUGUCGAUAUAUGAAAGAAAUUAUCACAUGUGAAGGAGGAACAAUUUCAACUAAGUAUUUUUCUAAUUGCAGAUAUCAACAAUAUUGUGACAAUCAAAUUAUUGAAGUUAGGAAAGAUUGACGUUUACAUAUAAUUAGUACAUGUUUAUAGGUUGUUAGGGUGAUGUACAUAUGUAUUAAUAGGAUAUGUGUUAUGGUUGUAUAUACGUUUUAUAAAACAAUGUCAUGUCAUAACAUGUACUUGACGAAUUAAUGAUUACAUUUUGAAAUA
This is a long non-coding RNA of Vigna angularis (adzuki bean), 418 nucleotides long. RefSeq lists it as uncharacterized. NCBI's taxonomy places the organism in Eukaryota, Viridiplantae, Streptophyta, Magnoliopsida, Fabales, Fabaceae. The transcript has 3 exons. The record is from RefSeq and is a predicted model, not a curated record.